AGUACGUUAGCUAAAUGGUAAGGCGUCGUAUUACGGAUACGUCGAUUGCAAGUUCGAGUCUUGUACGUACGC
This 72-nucleotide transfer RNA is filed under the name Puccinia coronata f. sp. avenae. It matches the Rfam family "tRNA". From Rfam's summary of the family: Transfer RNA (tRNA) molecules are approximately 80 nucleotides in length. Their secondary structure includes four short double-helical elements and three loops (D, anti-codon, and T loops). The record is from Rfam by way of RNAcentral. Lineage: Eukaryota; Fungi; Basidiomycota; Pucciniomycetes; Pucciniales; Pucciniaceae.